UGACAAACUGGAUGCCCAUUGAGCGCGAAGAGUAGAUUGAUUGUAAACGAAUUUGUGGUAGGACGCAGUGUGCCAUGAAGAGAUUUCGAUUAACGAACACGAGUGUUUUUCAUACACAUUGGCGAAGGGUUUCUUUGUACGGGUGUGUGUGUGUUUGUGCACAUUUUUGCACAUUUCAUUACAUUUACAAGAGGAGUUAUGGAUAGCGAAGCUGCCAACGAAGGAACAAAACGCCAACGAAAAGAUAGAUUGCAAAUUCAAUAGGUGCUGCAGUAGGUUGUAAAAAUGCAUCAAGCUGCAUUCAGUAUCGAGAAGUAAGGCUGUGUGUUGGAAGCAGUCGUCGAUUGAUAGACGCAGACCGGGUGCGCUCAUGAAAUAGAUCAUGCCCUCAGGGAAUGCCUCUACUUCGAAGUUGGCGCAGUGGAAGUGGACGGAAUACGUUGAAGGGCCAUAUUUUAUUCCUUCGACAAGCAAGAAGUGAGAAGCGGAUGUACGGUACGCGGGAACAUAGAGAGCGUGUCUGGCACACACGCCCUUUCCUGCAGCGAAGAAAAUUCUAGGAACGAAUGAUAAAUCAUUUAUCAUUUUUGAUAUCAAAAUCAGAUAUGAAACUUAUGUUAUUUUUUAUCUGCACCGUUUUGCAGUUGCGUACGUGUUGUUGCUGUUGGCGGCAAAUUGUAGCCGAAAAAGUCAUCCACAACUCAUCGCGCUCAAACUUUUCCGCAACUCCACUACUCCACUCCGCAGCAGCGACGUCAACCAGAGGAACCCCCGAAUGUGGUCCCUCUGCCCGCUUGUGUUUGUUUCGUAACGAAUCAAUCAUUCGAUGUAUCGUGAUAUAUUAGAGUUCGGGCUAGAUUGA
Anopheles arabiensis is the source of this 862-nucleotide long non-coding RNA. RefSeq lists it as uncharacterized. The record is from RefSeq and is a predicted model, not a curated record. The transcript is spliced from 2 exons. NCBI's taxonomy places the organism in Eukaryota, Metazoa, Arthropoda, Insecta, Diptera, Culicidae.